This is a long non-coding RNA of Astyanax mexicanus (Mexican tetra), 270 nucleotides long. RefSeq lists it as uncharacterized. The transcript has 3 exons. Lineage: Eukaryota; Metazoa; Chordata; Actinopteri; Characiformes; Acestrorhamphidae. The record is from RefSeq and is a predicted model, not a curated record.
AAAUAUUUACUUGUAUUGUCUGUUCCUUUUAGUCUUCCCCUGAUGUGUCUAUUGUUGGGGAGUUCUCCUCUGUGAACUCUGUGGAAACCACUGGUACAAGUACAUCCAGAAAGCCUUCCUGUGAUAUGUCUGAAUUAUCUGGAGUGAACUCUUCUGUGGCAGCCAAUAGUAACAGUACAUCUGUGUCUAAGGGCUCAUGUCCAGUGUGCCUCAUGAUUUUCCCAUUGGAUUAUUUGGAAGUCCAUGCUAGCUUGUGUGGUGAAAGGUGAC